AUAGUUCUCACGCAAGCUCUGAUGGUAAUUCCAGAAAAUGGACUUAGCAAGGAUCCAGCAAUAGUAACUAACGGGGUUUGGGUAGUUCGGUUCUUAGAAGAGGAUGUGGUGGGAGAAUCUUUUUGUAAACUGUGAGGAUGUGUCACUCUGAUUGGUUUUUUAAAAAAAAGGUGAACAGCCAAUAGCUAGGCAGGAUUUCUAGGCACAGAGGACACUGGGAAGAAGGGCAGAAAUGCCAGGAUGCAGAGGGAGCAGCGUGGGCAAAAUGCAGAGUAAAGACACUAGAAAGUCAGAUGCCUGCCUCGUGACAAGGAACCAAUCAGAAGUUAGCUGGUGGCGCUAUGCUUUACGACCCUGGGUGUGCUUUACGGACAAUUGGACAAGCGGACAAGCGCACAGCAAUGAUGCACAAAGUAUAGCAACCACCCUGGGAGGACCUAUGGGCCAUAACAACCAGUUGACCAAUCAACACAGGGCAAGCCCUCCAAGCCUGGAGGCACACCAAUCCUGAGCCUGUGCGUACCCCUAGACACUCCCCUUACGCUGCCCUAUAAAGAUCUGUGCACAGCGGCUUCAAACUGUCUUUGCUAGCCAUCCGUCAUGGUGGGUGGGUCAAAGACCCGAGCUAACAUGGGGUUAGCUCGUUAAAUUACAAUAAAGCCUCGUGCAGUUUGCAGCAAGCUCUCGAAUCUGCCUGGUGAUUGGGGUGACCGAGAACGUGGCCUGGGACCCCGGAUACUUGAGUUUUCGGGGGUCUAACAAAUCAGCGGUUAAGAGUACUUAGUGUGACAGAGAAAGAGUGCUGAGGUUCCUCCAUCUUGUAUUCUUGCUAAGGUCAUUUCAGGUUUAGCUAGAAUUUGAUCUCCUUGAUAGAGAAUUCUGUGGGGGACUGAAUAUCUCUGUUAUGGAAUAUUUUGGGUCCCAGGCUCUGGCUGCUGUAAACAGGAAGCUCCGGGUCACCAUUGUAUUGUUAAUUAACACUAGUCUAUUACUGUUUACCAUGGCCUAAGGUGAUAUACCUCCUAAUUUGCAUCUCUGUAGCUUAAGCCUUGAGUAGGCCCAUACCUGAGCUGAAGACUCUGCCCUGACCAAGAGUUGUUUAGGUAACAGAAUCACUUGCCCCUCCUGAGAUGAUAUGGUGUUUCCUGUCUCAUCAUUAGCUUCGUUGGGUAAUUAAAAUUCCCUAGUCCACACACCUCCACUCAGAAUCGGACCCGGGACUGUACGGCUGGCUCCGUCCACAGUCCUGAAGACAUCGGAACAGAAUUCCAUGAAAAAUUACCAAACCCUCUUCUCAGAACUGAAGGUCAAGAUACCCAAGCUAACUUACAAUUGUUUUGAUAAACUGCCUGCUUCUACUACAGAAACCCCUCCAGUUAACUGCUUAUCUUAGCUUCUGUUAAACUGCUUGCUUCUGCAAAUUUCCCGAUGUGGUUUUUGCCUUCAAACAACCCAUGCUCUGGACACUCAGGGCUAUACCUGGGUCCCUGAAUACCUGAGUAUAGUCCCAGCCAGCUGGAAUAAAGGC
Molecule: long non-coding RNA, 1528 nt
Filed under: Cricetulus griseus (Chinese hamster)
Lineage: Eukaryota; Metazoa; Chordata; Mammalia; Rodentia; Cricetidae
Description: lncRNA (ENSCGRG00015040519.1)
Source: RNAcentral